Molecule: long non-coding RNA, 505 nt
Organism: Xenia sp. Carnegie-2017
Lineage: Eukaryota; Metazoa; Cnidaria; Anthozoa; Malacalcyonacea; Xeniidae
Exons: 3
Source: RefSeq, a predicted model, not a curated record
GUUUUUACAGAAACAGCUUUCAAAAGACACCGCGAGAGAACUGGCUAAUAUAUCUGGCAUGCCCUCGACUUCUCAAAUAUAAAGUAAACCAGAUAGAAGGCGGAGAUUGAAAGUCAAGCUCGUAAAAUAAACAUUCUAAAACAUGAAUUCAACCCAUCGAAUGGUUGCCAAACCAGAUACAAGAUUAUUGAGCCAGUUAUCGUGGAUGUUGAAACACUAUGUAAAAUAAAACAAACUCAGAAGAAAGUACCAUUUUAAUUCGUUGUAUGAGAGGAGACAAUAAUACAGUUGUAUUUCGAACUUAUUUCUUUACUAUUUCGUCACCACAAAGUUGAUCUCAAAGAAAAGGAAAUGGCAUAAAGAAGAACUGUUGGCCAAAUUGUUAACUUCAACCGCUAAGAAUUUUUGGCGAUGUAGACGUAUGAUUCUAAGGAUCAUGAUGGGAAAUAGAAGGAAGAAGGGCACUCCAAAGUUGGCCAGACAAAUAAUUAAUAAUGAAAGAUAU